CCCGUUCCAACAAUGUUCCG
RNAcentral lists this microRNA (20 nucleotides) under Ciona intestinalis (vase tunicate). RNAcentral's name for it is "cin-miR-4019-3p". Lineage: Eukaryota; Metazoa; Chordata; Ascidiacea; Phlebobranchia; Cionidae. The record is from miRBase by way of RNAcentral.